AUUGAACGCUGGCGGCAGGCCUAACACAUGCAAGUCGAGCGGAUGAAGCGAGCUUGCUCCUGGAUUCAGCGGCGGACGGGUGAGUAAUGCCUAGGAAUCUGCCUGGUAGUGGGGGAUAACGUCCGGAAACGGGCGCUAAUACCGCAUACGUCCUGAGGGAGAAAGUGGGGGAUCUUCGGACCUCACGCUAUCAGAUGAGCCUAGGUCGGAUUAGCUAGUUGGUGGGGUAAAGGCCUACCAAGGCGACUAUCCGUAACUGGUCUGAGAGGAAGACCAUUCACACGGGAGCUAGGACACGGUCCAGACUCCUACAGAUAGCAACAGUGGGGAAUAAUGGACAAUGGGCGAAAACCUAAUCCAAGCAUGCCGCGUAAGUGAAGAAGGUCUUCAGAUUGUAGAGCACUUUAGGUUGGCAGGGAGGACAGUGAGUUAAUACCUAGGUGUUUUGACGGUACCGACAGAAUAAGCGCCGGCUAACUUCGUG
This 484-nucleotide ribosomal RNA is filed under the name uncultured bacterium. RNAcentral's name for it is "partial 16S ribosomal RNA". It matches the Rfam family "Bacterial small subunit ribosomal RNA", at positions 30 to 507 of the family's 1533-position model. The record is from RNAcentral.